Anguilla rostrata (American eel) is the source of this 1062-nucleotide long non-coding RNA. RefSeq lists it as uncharacterized. Lineage: Eukaryota; Metazoa; Chordata; Actinopteri; Anguilliformes; Anguillidae. The record is from RefSeq and is a predicted model, not a curated record. The transcript has 7 exons.
UAAUAUGCCCAAACGCCCGCAGAAGAACAUUUCACGUCCAGCUGAUUAAAUCUAUAAAAAUCAAUAAAUAUAAAAGCAAACUCAUUGUCAUUGUUGGUACACGGCAUGAAAUUGAUGUGAAAUUACAGGGAAAUUCCUACAGUAAUCUGCUGUUUUAUUGAUAUACGGCACAUUGCUUAAGACAGAACAGCAUUGUGGGCGUUUUGCUCUUAACUGCAUAACACCGUUUGAAUUUUCAGUAAUUAACUGGAAAUUGCUAUGGAUAUUGGGAAGCCGUUGGUUAGUAGUGGCGACAGAGAAUUUGCUAACAAAGCAAUGCCAAGUUUCGAGUGUCACACCUAAUAGGCUACGCGAAUUUAAAAGUAAUUAUAUCACAAUUUGUUCGUUUUUGAUUUCCAACAGAAUACGUUGAUCUGUAUUUCACAUAAAUUUUCUUGUUCUUUUCCAAGGCAACCCUGUACUUUGAGUAUUUUUUGUUGCAGCUGGCUAGAGUGUCGCCGGAUUGUGCAGUACACAAGUCUUGUACAGUAUCCAGUCUUCUGGGCCAUGUAACAGUAGGAACAGAGACGAGACUAACGGCAACCAAUGAACAAGUUGAGGAUGUUUCAGUGUUGGAGGGAUUUGACUGACGACGUAACGUGAAAAGAAAACAAUUGCAUCAUACAAAGACAGCGUGCAGCACAGCAUGCAGCAUAACAUCGCACACUUCAAUCUCUUUCCUUGGGAUCUUGAAUGUCUGAUAUAAGUGAGAGCAUCAAGGACGCAGUCAUUUCUGUCCUGCCAAGUGUGCCAGAAGAAACGAUCUUACACCAGGGAGUGGAAAGCAAAGAUGACUUGCAGUACAUAAGAGAACAGGAAAUUGCAGAGGUUAUUCGACCAAUUCAGUGCAGAAAACUUUUAAAUGCAUGGAAAUGAGCAGGUUUCUGCCUCUGCUGCUGACGUUGAGAGGUCCUUAACUUUGCCUGACAGUCCUCGAUUGAUUGUUCUCGAACUCGCCUCCGCAGGCGGGACCCGUGGCGACGGAACCUCUCCAAACUUCGCUAUCCCUCACUGACCCCCUGU